GGUGAACGCUGGCGGUAGGCCUAACACAUGCAAGUCGAACGGCAGCACAGGAGAGCUUGCUCUCUGGGUGGCGAGUGGCGGACGGGUGAGGAAUACAUCGGAAUCUACUCUGUCGUGGGGGAUAACGUAGGGAAACUUACGCUAAUACCGCAUACGACCUACGGGUGAAAGCAGGGGACCUUCGGGCCUUGCGCGAUUGAAUGAGCCGAUGUCGGAUUAGCUAGUUGGCGGGGUAAAGGCCCACCAAGGCGACGAUCCGUAGCUGGUCUGAGAGGGUGAUCAGCCACACUGGAACUGAGACACGGUCCAGACUCCUACGGGAGGCAGCAGUGGGGAAUAUUGGACAAUGGGCGCAAGCCUGAUCCAGCCAUACCGCGUGGGUGAAGAAGGCCUUCGGGUUGUAAAGCCCUUUUGUUGGGAAAGAAAUCCAGCUGGCUAAUACCCGGUUGGGAUGACGGUACCCAAAGAAUAAGCACCGGCUAACUUCGUGCCAGCAGCCGCGGUAA
RNAcentral lists this ribosomal RNA (506 nucleotides) under uncultured bacterium. RNAcentral's name for it is "partial 16S ribosomal RNA". It matches the Rfam family "Bacterial small subunit ribosomal RNA", at positions 28 to 523 of the family's 1533-position model. The record is from RNAcentral.